UGGGCUUGACAUACACCGGAAACGUCCAGAGAUGGGCGCCCCCUUGUGGUCGGUGUACAGGUGGUGCAUGGCUGUCGUCAGCUCGUGUCGUGAGAUGUUGGGUUAAGUCCCGCAACGAGCGCAACCCUUGUCCCGUGUUGCCAGCAGGCCCUUGUGGUGCUGGGGACUCACGGGAGACCGCCGGGGUCAACUCGGAGGAAGGUGGGGAUGACGUUUACGUGCACUU
RNAcentral lists this unclassified non-coding RNA (226 nucleotides) under uncultured Actinomycetes bacterium. RNAcentral describes it as "uncultured actinobacterium contains 16S-23S intergenic spacer region". It matches the Rfam family "Bacterial small subunit ribosomal RNA", at positions 976 to 1196 of the family's 1533-position model. Lineage: Bacteria; Bacillati; Actinomycetota; Actinomycetes. The record is from RNAcentral.